Molecule: long non-coding RNA, 685 nt
Organism: Athene cunicularia (burrowing owl)
Lineage: Eukaryota; Metazoa; Chordata; Aves; Strigiformes; Strigidae
Exons: 4
Source: RefSeq, a predicted model, not a curated record
AGGGGGGCGGCCAGCGCAGCCGCCAGACCCUGCCCCCGCGGCUGCCGACGGAGGGACGGUGCUGAGGGACGGUGAAGUGACUCGGGGGUGAAGGACAUGUAUGCGCGGGUGGAGAGAGCCCACGAGCGGCCUGUGGCCUAAGGCUCCAGCCCCGUGGCAAAGGCAGGCCGUGGCGGGUGGCCCGGCCGAGGAGGAACCAACUGACUGGAAGUCUCAAAGGAGCCCCGAGGUGAAUGUGCGCGCUGGGUGCCAGAUGCACAGGAAGCCGUGGUGGGAACGAGCACACAAACGUACCAAGCCGCGCAGGGAUAUACUGUCUCCUCUUGGGACCACAACAUAUGGGCAGAGACACUGCUCAGUUUGCAGUAAGCUUCCGCCUCUGAAUGGCUUGCAGUGCCUGACAGAUCUAAGGGAACUAUUUGACCUCCCUGCAUGUGCCUUUCAGUCAGUCCUCAUCAGUGUGCUGCUGCGGGUAGAACAGACAUGAAAAUUUGAGUAGGACCACUUUAAAGCAGCAUGGGUGCCUUAAUCAGUGCUCGGAAGGGAUGGUAGUUGUCACGUAACGGCUCUACCAGGUGUAGCCUUUGCUCUCCGAGUUGGGGGAGUGGUUCUGCGCCCCAGUGCCCGCUCAAACACUGCGUGGACAAGCUCGGCUUUAACGCUGGCAUGGAGAUUUCCCUGGUAG